UCUGUGCUAUAUAGCUAUAUUACGUACGUUUCUAUAUUACAUAAGAUUUUAUAUUGUACGAAUCCUGCAUAGACGUAAAAAUGAUUUAUUGCCAUAUAGUAGAUAGUAGACGUAUAGCAGAUAACGCAAAUCCGAGAUUAGAAAUGAAUGUGUCAAGGUGUCCGAAUUAAUUACGGUCGGCUUAGUAUUUUCUGUCGAUACGAAAUUAAUCCGAGAGGAUGGAAAAUGAAAAAAAAGGGUGAAUUAUAACGAGAUAUCAACCUUCGAUGCACGUUUUUAUAAUUAGGACAAGUGGGCUCCUCGCUCGAGUAAAGCAGUUUUACUUGGGAACACUGGGCGUAAUUGGAGAUCGAACGAUAAAGCUGAUAAAAGACACCGGUUAAACAGACUAUUUCCUCCGAUAUUGUCAGCCUGAUUUUCAGAAAGGUUGAUUUCAAAACGAUACAUCUAUUCCUUUCUAAUGGGAUCAAACAAGAAGGGAUGAA
This is a long non-coding RNA of Bombus impatiens (common eastern bumble bee), 485 nucleotides long. RefSeq lists it as uncharacterized. The record is from RefSeq and is a predicted model, not a curated record. The transcript is spliced from 2 exons. Lineage: Eukaryota; Metazoa; Arthropoda; Insecta; Hymenoptera; Apidae.